This 912-nucleotide long non-coding RNA is filed under the name Gossypium barbadense (sea-island cotton). Its description in RNAcentral is "long non-coding RNA (GBAR_LNC001405)". Lineage: Eukaryota; Viridiplantae; Streptophyta; Magnoliopsida; Malvales; Malvaceae. The record is from RNAcentral.
CGGAUCGAGCAUGGCCUAUACAGUACCGUUUUAGAGCCAUUGAAAUAGGCUUAAAAUGGCACCGUUUUUGCUCCUUUAUAAAGGCUAAAAUCAAGCCAAAUUCGGUCGAACUAAACCCUAUCCCCUUUUGACUCUCCUUCAACCGAUCCCUAAUCUCAUUUUUAAACACCAGUCUACCAUUAUCAAAGUGACUUAAAGGAUUCAGACCUUGAAAGAUGCCAUUCUCGGCCAGGAAAUCCCUUCCACGCUCCAAUUUCAACGAAGCAGAUGAAAUCUCUUAGCGUAUUCAUAAGGUAAAGCUCUUGUUUUCUCUUUGUUUUUCCAAUACAUAUAAACUCUAAUGAAAGACUAAUAGAACCGAAAGAGAAAAGAAAAAUUAAAGAAUAUUUGAAUCAAAAAUCACCUUUUCAAUUUUGAUUGCUUUCUUUUCAAUAUGCGUGUGUUUUUCAAUACAUUGUUGUACUUGGCUUUUUAUAGCCAAAAUGUAAAAUCAAAUACACGUUUCUUUUUUUGCUUUCUCCUUUGCUGUAUUCUGUUGUGGUUUGUUAAUUUGUUACAGGAGGAGCCAGCUGGAGGUGGUGGCUCACGUGGAGACCGAUUCCAUGCGAGGCUGCGGCGCAAACUAGUCCUUGGGUUUCAGCUCUUGAAACCGAAGUUUGGGUCAUUUGGGUCCGUGAUUUGGGCCAUUGUAAUAGGCUGUUAAUUUUGUUAGGGAUUUGGGUUUAUUGUUGAGCUAAUAAAUGUAAAUGGAAUGGACUUUUAAAUUUGGACCUUUUAUUUGUUUUUUUAUUUUUGUUUUUAAAUUUUUUUGGGGUUUAUUUCGGGCUGGGCAAAUUGGGUUUACUACAUGGUCAUUUUUGACAUUUUUACAAAAUUACCCCUAAGUUUUACUUUUAUUAAAUUUAGUCCCUG